This 239-nucleotide long non-coding RNA is filed under the name Marmota monax (woodchuck). Lineage: Eukaryota; Metazoa; Chordata; Mammalia; Rodentia; Sciuridae. The record is from RNAcentral.
GUCAAAAUUAAAAUUAAAAUACUAUCACCAACCUGUGUCCCUGUGGCUUGAGAAGCUGAGGCAGGAGGAUUGCAAGUUCAAAGGCAGCCUCAGCAGCUUAGUGAGGUCCUAAGCAAUUUAGCAAGACCCUGUCUCUAAAUAAAAUCCCCUGGGGAUAUUGGAGGGGUUAAGUUAAAAAAAAAAUAGACACAAGAUGGCAGAGUGGAGAAAGGAAGCACAGCCCAGCAGUUCCUCAGCUC